RNAcentral lists this long non-coding RNA (1331 nucleotides) under Anser cygnoides (Swan goose). RNAcentral describes it as "lncRNA (ENSACDG00005006506.1)". The record is from RNAcentral. Lineage: Eukaryota; Metazoa; Chordata; Aves; Anseriformes; Anatidae.
AUGUCACAAAGGGGGAUUUUCAGCAUCAGCUUUUCCCCUCAUGGGUACUGUUUGGAAGCUGUCUCUCCAGGCAUGGCAGUGCUGUUGGCACCUCUGGUGUGUGCCAUGUUUGGGGACCUCUGGUCUUUGCUCUCUCAGGGAGUGAAAAGUUUUGGGAAAUCACAGAGACCAGGAAGGGCUCACUCUGGUGUGUCAGAUAUCUGCUGGAAGUGUCUGAGGGGAUUGGCACCUCUGGGUCAAGGUAAAUCUGAUGCUGGAAGUGUAUUCAUUGUGCCUCUUUGGGUGGCAGCGUUUGCAGAGUUCUCAGAAACCAGCAGGAAGAUGACUGUUGAUGUCUCAGUGGAGAUAACAUGUUUGGUAGCCUGUCCUGAUGGAGAGGAAGCUGAACUCAGAGGGACUCUGUGCACUACUUUCCUUUUCCCUCUUUCAGUGGUGAUAAUCAGGAGAAAAUAGUUCUGAACCUAUUCUUUCAAGCCUUUGUUUUGUUUCUGGUUGUGUGUCUGGGUCUUCUGGACGCAGCACCUUCUCACAUGAGUCCAAGGGAGCAGUAGACCAUGGCUGCCUGCUUUUCCACCUGCUGUGAAGCACGGCAGGGUGGGUGCUGGCAGUCCUGCGUGGCAGGAGGAGGGAUUUAGGAUCAUGGAUGUGGCUCCGGGGAGCUAUAGGAUCAUUUUAAGUUACUUGUGAGAAGUGUCCAAGGAAAGGAAGGCAUGUGUGUGAUGGAUGAAGAGGGCGCACAGGGGCUGCUGCCACAGGGGUCUCAGAUCUGUGGAUCCACCUGCUUCAUUUACCUGAGGCCAGAUCCUGUCCCCUUUGCAGGGACUGAAUAUUUUGGCAGUGACCUGAGGGAAGCUGUGCUCGAACUAUCUCAGAAAUACUUUCCCCAAAUUUUCUGGGUGACAGGGAGGGGUGCCAGGCCCUCAGUCCGCUGUUGGCAGCACCUGGUUUUCUCUCUCUUUACCUCAGACCUUUGCCUGAGGCCUGCUCCCCUCCAUGCCAUGCCUGUCACACAGCUCCUGCCUGCCCGGCAGCCUCCCCUCUCUUACAGCAUCGCUUUCAGUUUCCCCCUUCUCCUCCUCCUUUUCCCCCACGUUCCUGACCACAAUUUCCCCCUCUCUGUUGUUGCUGCCCUGCGUUCUUCCCAAUCCUGACAGCUGCCCUUUUUCUCUUUUCUACCCCCUCACUGCUGCCCCUCUCCUCCUGCUGCCCGGGCUCCCCGUCCUCACACAGCCCGUCUGGCAGUUUGUCCAUGGUUUUUGUGCCUCCUGUUCUGUGGGAUCAGGGCUGGGACCGUGGGCUUUAAUAAAAUUGAAUGGAAAGAAUCUGCGCCA